UACGUAGGUGGCAAGCGUUGUCCGGAUUUACUGGGCGUAAAGAGCGCGCAGGCGGUCGUUCAAGUUGCGUGUGAAAGCCCCCGGCUCAACUGGGGAGGGUCACGCGAUACUGAUCGACUCGAAGGCAGGAGAGGGAAGUGGAAUUCAUGGUGUAGCAGUGAAAUGCGUAGAGAUCAUGAGGAAGACCAGUGGCGAAGGCGGGUCUCUGGACAGUUCCUGACACUGAGGCACGAAGGCCAGGGGAGCAAACGGG
RNAcentral lists this ribosomal RNA (253 nucleotides) under uncultured bacterium. RNAcentral's name for it is "partial 16S ribosomal RNA". It matches the Rfam family "Bacterial small subunit ribosomal RNA", at positions 524 to 776 of the family's 1533-position model. The record is from RNAcentral.